This 464-nucleotide ribosomal RNA is filed under the name uncultured bacterium. RNAcentral's name for it is "partial 16S ribosomal RNA". It matches the Rfam family "Bacterial small subunit ribosomal RNA", at positions 29 to 507 of the family's 1533-position model. The record is from RNAcentral.
ACGAACGCUGGCGGCGUGCUUAACACCUGCAAGUCGCACGGAAAGGCCCUGCUUGCAGGGUACUCGAGUGGCGAACGGGUGAGUAACACGUGGGUGAUCUGCCCUGCACUUCGGGAUAAGCCUGGGAAACUGGGUCUAAUACCGGAUAGGAGCCAUUUUUAGUGUGAUGGUUGGAAAGUUUUUUCGGUGUAGGAUGAGCUCGCGGCCUAUCAGCUUGUUGGUGGGGUAAUGGCCUACCAAGGCGGCGACGGGUAGCCGGCCUGAGAGGGUGGACGGCCACAUUGGGACUGAGAUACGGCCCAGACUCCUACGGGAGGCAGCAGUGGGGAAUAUUGCACAAUGGGCGCAAGCCUGAUGCAGCGACGCCGCGUGGGGGAUGACGGCCUUCGGGUUGUAAACUCCUUUCGCUAGGGACGAAGCUUUUUGUGACGGUACCUAGAGAAGAAGCACCGGCUAACUACGUG